Molecule: long non-coding RNA, 378 nt
Filed under: Gallus gallus (chicken)
Lineage: Eukaryota; Metazoa; Chordata; Aves; Galliformes; Phasianidae
Source: RNAcentral
UACUCAUCGCCCUUCCGCUCCGCUCUGGUUUGAAUGCCGGCCACAUCGGAGCCGGCGCCGGGCUCCGUCACGCAGUAGGCACACAUGAUGGGCUCCUCCGUCAUCCUGCCCAGGUAUUUGCGCUGCUGCCGCUCGUUGCCCGCGAUGAUCAGCGGCAUUUGCCCGAGGGAAUUGGCCUCCAUGGCCGUCUGGACGCCGGUGCAGCCGUACGCCAACUCCUCCGUGAUGAGGCACGCCUCGAAGCUGCCCAGGCCCAGCCCGCCGCAGCUCUCGGGGAUGUGUGCGUUGAGCAGCCCCAGCUCCCAGGCACGUUUGAUCAGCGGCAUGGGGUACUCUCCGGUCCGGUCAUACUGUGCUGCCACGGGGAUGAUCUCCUCC